Molecule: long non-coding RNA, 429 nt
Organism: Physella acuta
Lineage: Eukaryota; Metazoa; Mollusca; Gastropoda; Physidae
Source: RefSeq, a predicted model, not a curated record
UAAAGAAUAUGUUCUUAUCAGUGAACUAACAUCGCGCCAAAGAUUUGAGAAACUUGACCGGUCUAUAGUUUAACUGGCAGGUCACUAAACACGAGAGACCAACGAUGAAGUUUGUUGUUUACCUGAGUGCUGUUGUUUUUGUUGUGUGUCUGGCGUUUGGACAAAGGUCAGCUGACCUGAGGGAGAUGUUCAGGGACGUGCGUGCCGUUUGUGCUCACCCCGCCCUCUGCUUCAUAGACGCCUGCAUGAUGUCACCUUGUCCCACCACCUGCAUCAGAGAUUGUGUGUGCGGUUAUACCUGCCCUUAAGUCGCUUCCUGUGAAGGCUAUUGAUAUUAAUUAGUUAAGUUUUCAUGCACGUCACCAUCUGGAGUAUCACCAUGCGUCACCACCGUGACAGAACACCAUUCUAAAAUAAAGUAUAAAACGU